CACCGCAAGCAGUCCCUCCAGUUCGCGGCCAAUCACCACUUCCAGAAAACGUUGGAGCCGCACUUGUACUUCUCCUUGCCCUCGCACUCGAUCUCGAGGUCGUCGCUGAUGAACGGCACUUUCUGCAAGGCGUAUACAGAUGAGGAUUCAGAAUUUCAGAUCAUCUGUGUGAGAGAUGAGCUAUGAAUAUGAUUGCGAUGAGGACCUUCUGCUUGGCGAGGUCCUGGCAGCCGGUGAAGUUGUAGGGGAACUGGCAGCUGCCGAACUCCACGGUGUAGGCGCGCGCGAAGUUGGCGCCGCUGGUGGCAAGCCUCUUCUUGUCGUUCAGCUCCUGACCAUCGUAGCACAAACCACAAAUGUAAUCUUGUCAGCUUUCACUUUCAGACAAAUAAAUAACAAAGCAACAAUUCUGAAAUAAAUGAAGAAACUGAUGACGACCUUGUUGGCCUUGCUCUUCUCGAGGUACUCGUCGAUGAUCCCGGCCUUGGCCGACCCGGUGGUGGCGGUGACGGCGAAGACGGCCGCCAGGCCGAGCAGCGCGGCGCGCCGGCCCUCGGCGGCCCGCUCCUUGGGCGCGACCUGCACCCGCUUCGCCGCCGAGGCGGCCUGCGGCACCGCCGCGGCGGGCUUGAGCCCGACGACGCUGGAUGAGCUCACGCCGGCCAUGACCUUCUCCUUGACUUGGUGUGGUAUGGCUGUGGCUGUGCGUGCUUGGUUGGCAGCAAGGAGAGUGGGUCGGCGAUGGUUUUGUUUUUGAUCGUGGGUGGCAGACGCUUGUGGAGGGAGAAUAGGUUGUGGUGGGCGUGUGGAUAGGGUGAGGCUGCUGCGACCCC
RNAcentral lists this long non-coding RNA (833 nucleotides) under Setaria viridis. RNAcentral describes it as "long non-coding RNA (SVIR_LNC008529)". Lineage: Eukaryota; Viridiplantae; Streptophyta; Magnoliopsida; Poales; Poaceae. The record is from RNAcentral.